RNAcentral lists this long non-coding RNA (1073 nucleotides) under Homo sapiens (human). RNAcentral's name for it is "HSALNT0157531". Lineage: Eukaryota; Metazoa; Chordata; Mammalia; Primates; Hominidae. The record is from RNAcentral.
GAAAAAAGCAAAACAAAACUACAGCUCCAAAUAACAAGACGCCUGAUGAAGGAAUGGCAGGAUGUAGAGGUGCCGAUCUGGGAGACCAAACUGCUUCUCCUUAAAUCUCAAUGCCCAAGCUGACUGCAUCCGUGCCCACCUGUAAGUCCAGCUAUUCGUGUUUAUGUGAGAUGAUGAAUGCGACAGGAAUACUAAGGUGACAAAGGGGCAGAGAUCGAGUUGUGAUGCAAAUUCCAAGUGAAAACCCCAUUUUAUACUACCUUGUAUCGAGGACUGCAUCCUUUCAUGGACAUUAACCAAUAAUUUGCUUGGCACCUCUAUAAAAUAUCAGUUAUUAAGAGGUAAGCAAUUAGUGUGCAGGAGAAGGAAGGCAUUCAGCAAAAGCCCAGGCAGCGUGAAAUUAGGGACCAGGGUAGAAGAGAAUGCAAUCCCUAAUCCUUUCAAGAGAGCACUGAGGAAAAGCAUGGUAGCUAUCAAAGACUCGGAAGAGAUGCAGGUAAUCUCCAAGCAAUUCCGCGACAUGAAAGCGUAUUUUAAGUUUAGAGAUCAUCAGAGAGGAAAGACUAUCUUUUGAGAACAGAAUGGGAUGUAUCCUGUGCUUUUUCCACACCUUUCUCCGAGGCUGGAGCAUCACCUACUAGUCUACAUUCAGAGCCUGCUGGGAACAUAACACUAUUUCCGGGAAGGACCAGCCCUCAGGGGCCACACAUCCAGGGAAGACUUUCCGCUCAGCACCCACACCUUUAUAAACUCAUCUCUGCCCCUUCCUGUCCCUUCAUCCCAGCCCAUCUCCUGCUUCCUGAAGGCCCCCGGUUUACUGAACUCUUCCUGGUGUCCUGCCACCCCCAGCGUCAUCCCCACUUGAGGAAAGCGACAUCCCAGAGAGAGAGACAGACGUCCCCACAGAGGGCCAUGUAAGACUGUCGGGCGUGGUGAGGACACCCAGAGGACAGCGGCUACACCGGGCUGAGGGUGACCAGUGCCGAAGGGGUUUGAGUUUAUUCUGUAAAUAGUGGAGACGGCAAUGGUGACCAAACCAAUCAUUUGAUGCUUCCAUAUCUCAUCUACACAAU